Long non-coding RNA from Aphis gossypii (cotton aphid), 2295 nucleotides. RefSeq lists it as uncharacterized. NCBI's taxonomy places the organism in Eukaryota, Metazoa, Arthropoda, Insecta, Hemiptera, Aphididae. The record is from RefSeq and is a predicted model, not a curated record. The transcript is spliced from 3 exons.
AUGUUCAAUUAUUGUCUGUGGGCCGUUCGCGGGCCCCGGCACUUCUGUACUAGGUUAAUCUUUCGUUUAAAUAUUUUUUUAACUAUUAAUUAUUAUUUAUACUAACGUUAAUGUUAAAUAAAUAAAGAAUUCAAGUUCAUAUCUCAUAGUACUACAGGUGAGUGCUUCAAUAACGAUGUAAUUUUCAAGUUAACGAGUACUAAAUUAAUAUUCAUUCUAAAAUUAAAAACUAAUCAAAUUUGAGUUUAUGGCAAUGAUCAGUAUCUAUAAAUACCUGGGCCCACCCAUCCAUACCAUUAUACCGAGUGAAUCGCGCUGAAUAACCCAUCCAGUCAAUAUGACUCCUAACCACCUUUCACAUCAAUCUAAAGAACAAAAUACUCUUGUAUGAACUUGUACUACAAUUUGUAUGGUCAUGUGGUGUACAACUUAUAUAGACAAACUUAAAUGGGAAGAAGCAAGUAUUAUUUUUCCAGUUACUUGUGUUAAUAAUAAAAUUGUUUACAUUUAUAUAACAGGCAUCACUAGUAGUUUCAUUGUUUAAUGACUGGUUUGAUUUUUUGAACACUCAACAAAAAUAUAAUAAUGGGGUAUCAAGUUAUGGUCUGAAUGAAAAUGUUCAAAAUGAAUCAAUUACUUGACAGGAUGACUAAAUUCAUAAAAUCAAUGAAAGAUGAGAGUACAUGGUAAAACAUCAUUACUACCUUUUCAAAAGGGUAAUAAUAGGUGUCCAUUUAACUUCGGAGCAGAAAAUUAAAGUGAUAUAAUUUGACGAGUUAUGUUUCUCAAUCAAUAUGCUAUGACAAAAAUGAAAAAGUAUGAGAAAGUGUAUGGGUCACACAAGUGUGUUCAAACAGUUGUAGUUAAAGGUUAAAUAGAAAAUUGAGAGCAGCCAAUCUAUUAUAAUUAUGAUACUCUUAAGGAUAAAGAGUAUGGAUAUUAUAUUGUUAAAAAUUAUAGAAGAACUAUAUUAAGUUGGUUAUGAUGUAGCAACCGUCAGUGGUAUGAAUCUACAAACAUUGGCUUGACGCAUAUUCUUAAUGUAGAUGAGGAGAACACAUCAUUGAAGCAUUUCUAAUAUCAAUGUACAUGUGUUUUCACACGUACCUCAUUUAAUAAAAUUAGCUAGGAAUCAUUUCCUUGACAGGUUAAAUUAAUAUAAACUUAUAAAAUUGAAUAUUUAAAUAAAUUAAAAUGUUCUUUCAAAAGAUUUUUUCUUCCCAAUAGAAAGUAUAUUGGGGAAAAUAUACAAUCAAGAGUUACUAAAUUCAAAUACAGGGUAAGACCUUAAAUUAGUUCAUAAAGCCACAGAACGUCACAUUAAUGUCAAAGAAGCCUGAACAAAUGAAUGUAAAGAUCACUAUCAAUUUGUUCAACUAUCUAAAUGAUCGAAGACUAUUAUUUUCUAACAAGGAAAUUUAAUCAAAAUGUAGUUGAGAACCUUUUUAGCUUUUUAAAGGAUAUAGCCAGAUCUGCAUAUAAUAGAACAAAUGCCCUUGAUUUUAAAAUAUUAGUAAAUACUGCCAACUAUUCAUUUUACUAAUAUAAAAACCCGAGGAAAUUUAUAAAUACAUUUUGUUGUUUAUAGUUUUAAAUAGUAUAUUCUGGGAAAGAAUUUCAACUUUGUUUUUACUAAAAACAACAAUUUUAAAAAUAAUUCAGAAGAAAGUCUUAAAUGAUUCCAAGUGUUUAUUAAUUAUAGUGAAGUUGUCCGAGAUUGUGAAUUGUUACCUGACUCACUUUCUUUGGUCACUCAUAACAAUGAGUUGACAUUUGGUACAGCAAUAGAAGAAUUUGAAGCAGCUAAUGAACCAUUUGAUGAUUUAGAAAUAGAAUGUAUAAGUAGAUAACUGGGGAUCUGAUAAAUCAAUUUGCACAUGAAUAUUCUUGUUUACUAAGUUCAGACAUAUCUAACCAAAAUAAAACAUCAAAGUCUAAUUGGAUAAGUCAUAUUGCAAAGGACAAUCUUAAAAAUUACCCAGAAAAAUCAUAAGGCUUAUUAAAAUAUCAUGGAACCUUAAUUCAAAGAAAUUUAUGGUGAUAGUAUUUCAAAAGCUCCUAGAAUUACAAAAACGUUAAACCAAUAAAUUGUUGAAUAUCUUUUCAUCGCUUAGUAUUCCAUAAGUUUUAAAUUGUUUGGUGCGAACUAGAACAUUUAUAUGAUUUAAUCACCUGAGCAAAGAAAUAUUAUACAAAAGCAACAUAGUAAUCAAAAAUUAAAAAUAUGUUAAUUAUGAGUUAUGCUUACUUAACUGUAUAUAACUCAAAAGAAUAAACCAAUUUAUGAUUUAUGAA